Non-coding RNA from Anas platyrhynchos (mallard), 3466 nucleotides. Lineage: Eukaryota; Metazoa; Chordata; Aves; Anseriformes; Anatidae. The record is from RefSeq and is a predicted model, not a curated record.
CGUUGAUAACACAAUUGCCAUGGUGGAGGUCUGUGGGCUACCACUGCUGUACAGCACAAACCCCUGCUCGGAGCCCAGCGUGCUGUCCCACCGGUCAGAGAGCUAUUUCCAUCCCAUCAGCUACCUCUGCCUCGAUCAAAUGAUGCCAAGUGCCUGUUCUGAUGCAGGUGGGUUACUCAGCUCCGUACAGGCAGGAGCUGCUACUGAGUACUGGAAGAAACCCUUACACUGCUACUGGGGACAUCCUGUGGUUUGGGAUGAUUUCAACCAGAAGUUUCUGACAGUGCCAAUACGCUGUGUGUGCUGCUCAGCCUGGUGUUACCCUGUUCAGCUUAAUUCCAGACCUGAGCCGAUUUGAGCCUUUCAGUGGCCAACCCCCCAGGCUGAGGUGUCCCAUGUCCAGGUGUUAUUUCAUGCAGGGAAAUUCUCUUUUUAAUGUUGGAGCUGGUUCUCCAAAGUGCUGAGUACUCACAGCUAUUGCAGGUAGUCGGGGCAGCGGGAGGUAUUCUUUCUUUGAAGGAUGUGGCUCUUCCUGCCCUUAAGAAGGCCUGGUGAGAUGAAUGACACUGCCUCUGUGCCAUGCCCGGCAGGAAGCCAGCCCCGUGUGCUGUGUGUGUACCCAUCAGCACUGCCAACAAGGAGCCAGUUCCCACUGUUCGUCAGCUGCCUCACCUGGGAAGAGAAAAGCUGUUCCUCUGCAAGGCACAGUCAAGAUAAUUAUCACAGUGAAAGAAGGUCAUAGUUUCCACACAGACUUUUAAAAGCCUCUACAAAAGAAGAGUUAAAUGUAGUGACAGGAAGAGCGCUGGUGUCAGGUGCGAGGGGGAAGGAAACAGCGAUAAUCGGCGUUACCGGAGCUGCAUCUUUCAGUUGAGCCUGCAGAGCACAGCAGAACAGCUGGAGAACAUGCACAAGGAUGGAGCAUGACAGUGUCAUUCACUCAGCAUCAGUAUUUUCUCCUGCUUACCUGUUGCUUUGACUCAGGAAAACUUCAACUGGCACAGAUUUACCCACGGAACAGGCCAUGAUACUGACACAGUAAGGACCUAAAUACUCUGCCACUAUCACCAUGGGUUUAAGACUAAAGACAACAAGUGAUACUGUAAGUUGAGGCAAGUUUUAUUUAGACUGUACAAACAGGGCACUGGAAAAAAAAACAGUGGCUUGAUGUUGGGACCAGUUCUAUGAAAUAAGUGGAGUAAGAAAUUAAAAGGCACUAAUCUUAAGAAAAGACACUCCAUAUAUUCUAAGAAUAUAAUUCAUUUAAUACUGUUAAUUUUAUAGCACAAAAAAUAAAACAAGCUAUGAUCCCCAAAAUAAAUUUUAAAAGCUUACACUUUAAUAUUAUUGCCUGAAGUUCAUGGUCUUUAAAUUACAUAUUGUGUUUUAAAGUUUACACAGUGAAGACUGUCUCGAAUACAAGGCCACCUUUCCCACUGCAAUAAUUGUAUCCUUGUCUCAAAAAACAUUUUCAUUUAACAGAACAGAAAAUGACAGCUAUACAAGAAUGCUUUCACUGGUCCCAAAAGGCAGUCUUUUAGGCAGGUCUCACUUUCAAAUGCAGGUAUUGAGAAAUAUGCUUGAAAACUUGACUAGAAAACAAAAGGCAGCCCACUCGUUCCCAGGAUGUUAAUAUAAUAUUAAAAAAUUACUUUACAGGCACAUGAAAUGGCACAAAGAAUGCUGUAUUUCCCUUUACAAAAAUAAUGCUCAGGCUCUUCAGAGCCCCAGCCCAGACAGGAUAUUCCCUUUUGUUUAUUCUUCCCAAUUUGUAAACAAUCAUGAAUUAAAUUAGCGCUUAUCCAGUGAUGGACACUGAUUAAAACAGUUUUCGUUUAAACUUUCAGACUGGUCAGAGGCUUCAAUGUCUAUAUACACACAUACACAACAGGAGGGAGUCAAACAGUAAGCCUUUCAUGAUAGUUAACUAGUGUGGCACCUGGUGAUUAAACCGGCUGCUAGUUCAAAAGCAUGAACGAUUUUAAUGGUGCAUAGAUCGAAGCCGUCACUUGCAGACUCUCAUGCUUCAUAGUACGAAUACCUGACGCCCCCCGGGAACAUCUACAUGGAUAGGUUAGCACUCGAAUUCAGGAGGCUUCAUAAAGCAACAGACAGCACACAUGUAAGCAAGCAACAAGCGAUUGAGAAUCAAAAGAGUCCUUCAAAGAAAAACACCAAAUGAUCAAAUGCAGUCUUUAUAUGAAAAUAUUCGUCUUAUAGUAAAAUGGCAAAGACACUUUGAAGCGAGUUUACAAUCAGCUUAGGCUGGUCAGUAUGCUACAUUUAAACCGCAUUGAACAUCACCGAUCUAUACCGCUGCUACUGUGAGAAAUACUGUUCGUCUGGGGCCCAAAACCAGGUUCACAGAAAUGUAUGAACUCUCAUCUUUGCAUCAGAUGCCACCGCAAACAAAUUUUGCAUAGUUUUGAAGGAAAACAGUUUGCUUUUCUGCAGUAUCAGAACAUAAUUGAACCUAAAACAAUGCUUGUGUUCAAAAUGUAUACCUUAUUCAAUGAGGAGAUGAGUCAAGACACUUAUUUUAGUGACAAAAUCCAGGUUAAAAGUUGUAUUCAAGAUCUCAAAUCUCACAGUAUUUAUUCAUGGACUUCAACAUGCAAAAGAAGAAUUCUACAACCAGUUUUCUGAAGAGCUACCUGCAGCUAGGUCAGGUCUGAAAUAAGCUUUCUCUGCAGCAGACUGAGUUUAGUGCAGUUUCUGUAUUCACAUGAUGACUCUCAGUAGUACAAUCUAUGUAGUAAACUUCAGGUGGAGUUGGGGCACAGAAGAAUCACAACCUCCUCUAGUUAAGAGAGCUGCAUAGCUUUUCUUUGCAAGACAACCUGUCAGCGCCUAUUGUCCAGAAAUUCUUUCAGCACCAAACACUUCAGUCAAUGCUACGCUACUUCACAGUUAAUUUGGUAGUAAAAUGCUCUACAAGAACUUCUAGACUGUCAGCCACUUGAUUAAUACUACAGAAAAUAACUAACAGAUGAACCGAGUUUCUUAAAAAGAAAACAACCACAGCAUUUUACAUCUCUUGUUGUAAAUGCCAUUUUCGCAUUUCUUCAGUGCCUUCCAUUUAAGGGUCUCACAGCACCUUCACAGGAGUGAGAAUAACGUUCUUUUACUAGGAAAAAGUGACACAAAUCAACAAGAAAACAUGCUGGAACUUAAGAUGACAACUUCCAUAUAAUUUAACACUUGUAAGAAGUGGUACAGUUCUGCAGGUGUCUGAAGUUUCUCAUUUUGCUACAACUGACAGCCUUCACAAGUUGAAAAAUGAAUGUAUUGUAGCACUGCUGUUUUCCUGUCAGAUAUUCCUGGCUUUCUGCAGCAGACACUUUUCUUUAUGCAGGCUGUCUGAAAAGGGAGGUUUCAUAGUUACAGUCUUUGCAGACAUGUUACUCUGUUAAUUUGGCGUUUUUUUAAAAAGAGCAUUCCAGUUCACCUAGAAAACACAUUUAAA